CGGGAUAAGCCUGGGAAACUGGGUCUAAUACCGGAUAGGAGCCAUUUUUAGUGUGAUGGUUGGAAAGUUUUUUCGGUGUAGGAUGAGCUCGCGGCCUAUCAGCUUGUUGGUGGGGUAAUGGCCUACCAAGGCGUCGACGGGUAGCCGGCCUGAGAGGGUGUACGGCCACAUUGGGACUGAGAUACGGCCCAG
This 192-nucleotide ribosomal RNA is filed under the name uncultured Actinomycetales bacterium. RNAcentral's name for it is "partial 16S ribosomal RNA". It matches the Rfam family "Bacterial small subunit ribosomal RNA", at positions 139 to 334 of the family's 1533-position model. The record is from RNAcentral. Lineage: Bacteria; Bacillati; Actinomycetota; Actinomycetes; Actinomycetales.